UAGUUUUAUCCUAAGUCAAACAUGUCCAACUUUGACUGAGUUUUAUAGAUAAAUACAACAACAACUAUACUACCAAAUAUAUGCACUAAGCACUAUCAAAAUAUAUUCCAUUGUGGACUCAAUGAAAUAAUUUUAGUAUUGUAGAUGUUGUUGGAUUUUUCUAUAAACUUGAUCAAAGUGGCAUAAGUUUGACUUAGCACAAACCGAA
Molecule: microRNA precursor, 208 nt
Filed under: Setaria italica (foxtail millet)
Lineage: Eukaryota; Viridiplantae; Streptophyta; Magnoliopsida; Poales; Poaceae
Description: MIR1435 microRNA precursor family
Rfam family: MIR1435 microRNA precursor family
Source: Rfam by way of RNAcentral